GCGCUCGUAGCUCAACUGGAUAGAGUACCUGGCUACGAACCAGGCGGUUGGAGGUUCGAGUCCUCCCGAGCGCGCCA
This 77-nucleotide transfer RNA is filed under the name Idiomarina abyssalis. RNAcentral describes it as "tRNA-Arg". It matches the Rfam family "tRNA". Rfam says of the family: Transfer RNA (tRNA) molecules are approximately 80 nucleotides in length. Their secondary structure includes four short double-helical elements and three loops (D, anti-codon, and T loops). The record is from RNAcentral. RNAcentral also lists the same sequence under 43 other names. Lineage: Bacteria; Pseudomonadati; Pseudomonadota; Gammaproteobacteria; Alteromonadales; Idiomarinaceae.